UAGGCCACAUGCUUGACUCGGUCUUGCAGCCCUUCAGGCAAUGAAGGAUUGCAGACAGCCACAGCCAUGCCCACAAAGCUGCGCAGGUGCCCUCUGGAACCAGCGAUUUGAGAGGGAAUAAACGACCUCGGAUCAUUCUGAAUGCAACUCCCAUUCUUGGGAGCUGUGUGACCCUGGGCAAGUUACUUAAUCUCUUUGAUCUGUAGUAUCUCAACCGGAAGAAGAUUGUGAACAAUGCUGACCUCAUAGCAGUUUUUGAAGAUUCCUUGAAAUGCUG
This is a long non-coding RNA of Canis lupus familiaris (dog), 277 nucleotides long. RefSeq lists it as uncharacterized. Lineage: Eukaryota; Metazoa; Chordata; Mammalia; Carnivora; Canidae. The transcript has 3 exons. The record is from RefSeq and is a predicted model, not a curated record.